AAGGUAGUUCUACAUAUAGUGACUCCACAUAUAGCAACAAUUUUAAAAAGUAUCAGUAAUUUCGCCAGAAGUAUUUUUUUUUACCUGUACUGAUAUUUAAAAGUGUCGCUAUACACCGUUUUUAUUAUAGUGAUAUACGUAAUAAUAUAAUAGCUUUUGAUUUAUACAAAGAGGCAAUUCAAAAUGAAUGGAUUUACUGACACAUUAAUAUAUAAUAUAAGAUGUAUAAGAUGUAUGUUCAAACCGCACACUAGAUGUGAUUCUGUGCCAAAAAUAAUAAUAAUAAUAAUAAUAAUCUUACGCAUAGAAUAAUUUUGUGGACAACAUCCACUCUUAUAAUUUAUUUUUUUCUAAAAAAAAAAGAUUUGGGAUUCAACGUAUAUUUCAUUAGGAAUUAAUAUUUUUGGAACUAUUUUACAAUGUCCCCAUCGCAGUAAAAAAAAUAGGGGCAGUUAAAUACGCUCCUCAAAAUUUAAAAAUAUGGGAAAACUUCAAAAACCUCCUUUUUGGUUUCAUAGUUUCUCAUUUUACCCCCCUGUGGUUUAAAAUGUAUCAAUUUGCAACCCGUGGUUUCUUUUUUCUCUUUUUCAUAUCAAUUUCAUUAUUUUUUUUCUUAAAUCAGUGAUAAAGUUAAAAUUAAAGGGUACUAAAGUGAAUAUUUGAUAAAUCUAGAUGGAUAUCUAUAUAUAAUUUAAUGAAAUAUUAACGAAAAAGCUAUCGAAAAGAUAAAAACAAAACUACAGGAGGGCAAUUUGAUACAUUUUAAACCACAGGGGGACAAAGUGAGAAACUAUGAAACUACAGGGGGGGUUUUUGAAGUUUUUCCUAAAAAUAUUGCAGAUGUUCUUUCAAAUUUAUCAAUAUAUAUUAAUUAUUUUUGCUAUCAUAAAUGUAUAAAUUAUAUUAAAAAUAUCCUUUUUCCAGGUUGACUAAUAUUAUAAGGCCGAUUUGUCCCUGAUUAUACCUAAUUAGCGAUAAUAGUAUGAUUUUAUCUGUGGCUAAUGGAGUUAUUUCUCAUUAAAAAAAAUAACGUUAAAGUCUAGUUUUAUUAUUUUAAUAUACUCGGUUUAUAUUCAUGAUUUAGUUUGUGAAUGUCUUUUUUAUCUACUCUAGCUCGUUUUCUUUUUUUGUUUAAUUCANUAAUGGAGUUAUUUCUCAUUAAAAAAAUAACGUUAAAAGUUGUUUUAUUAUUUGCAAAUAUAUUCUAUAGUUUAAAUUUUUUAAAUUACUUUAAUUUUUUAUCUACUAUUUAUAUAGUUUAAUUUGUUUUAGUUAAUUAUAACUUUUAGUUUAUUAUUCAUUCAACUGCAUUAUAAUAUUUUAAAGAUAAAAAUGUUUGAUUUAUUUAAAAAAUUAAGAAUGAUGAUAGAUAAAAAGGCAAAUUGAGAAUUUUGUUAAAUUUUUAGAAAUAAUUGUCACUAAUUUGAAUAUUUUUGAUAAUUUCUUUAGUUAGAAAAAUAUUUUUUUAAUGUUGCUGAUUUUAGAUAUAUAAAUAUAUAUACAAUUAAAACUAGGAAGACUCUGGAAGAGAAGUACAUAUAAAAUUAUUCCAAAAAAUUAAUAUAAAAAACUUCAAAAUUUAUCGAAACUAUAGACUAGUUUGAAUCGGCUAUCCAAUCUUUUAAAAUUUUAUUUUUACUAUCUGAACGUUUCAAUUUGUUUGAUGUGAGUCAACUAGUGAUACAUUGUCUUUAAAAACUAAGCUAAUUAAUUACUCUGAUGAGUUUGUAGUUGCAAGAAUCGCAUGAAAUAUAUUAACUAAACUUGUAAAGAAAAACAGCACAUUCAAAUUUUGAAAUUAAAGUACCGUUGACUAAUUCAAAUCAAAUAAAUUAAAAGAUUGAAUGAUAAAAUUAAAAUUUUAAAAUAUUAGAUGGUCAACUCAAAAUGAUCUAUAAUUCAAAUAAAUCCUGUAUAUUUUUACCAAAAGUUAAUUUGCUUUUCUAUUAGAAUUAGCCUUGAAUUAAACAUGGGUCCACUUGACUAUUUAGUAUAAGUAUUUAUUAACUAUUAAUAUGAGAAGUGAUUUAGAUGCAAAGAAGUUGAAGGUUAGCUCUUAACAUGCAUAGUAUUUUGGGUAAAAAAAUUGGGAUGAGUAGAAUCCUAUUUUUUCCAUGUUUUAAAAAUCAAAUUAAACAACGAUCCAAAAAAAUUAUUAGGUCAGGAAUAACUAGUUUAACCAAUAGGUCUAAUAACCUUAAUAUAACAGUCAUAAAUAUUUAAUUAUUAUUUUAUUUUUAUCAUAUAACAGAUAUUAAAAAUUACUCUAAAAAAAAAUUGAUCUUGAAUUCGACUGAAAGUACCACAACUCUUAAUAUUUUUAGGCCACUCAAUAAUAAGCCAUCUGAGUCGACAAUUGACACGGUUAAAAAAUGACCUACGACUCACCAACUUUUCAAAUACAUUUUAUAUAUAUUAUAAAAAAUUAUUAAUUUGGAGACAAUUUAAAUAGUUAAAAUAAUAAAAUUUGAUUGGUAAACACGACAGUGUUUGGUUAGGGGAUAGGAAUAGGAAUAGAUACUUAUCCUCCUUUAUAUCCAAACGCUAAAUUUUUACCUGAGAAUAGUACUUCUCGGUUAUCCCCACCAACACCUCCAUUUUUUAUACAAAAUUAUGUAAAAUUGUUCUUAUCUUCAAGAACAACUCAAUUUUCAUCCAAACAUUAUUUUUUUUAUCCCUAUAUUUGUAUCAUUUUUGUAAUAGCUAAUUUUUAUUUAUACCCGAACUAAACGGUAUCUAGUUAUCAUCAAAAAUAUUUAAUGACAAGUACGAAUUUUGAAAACUAAUAUAAUAUUUGUGUUUCGAUACGAAACGUGAGAUCGAAGGACGUAAAUACCUUAAUACAAUAUGUGAGCUGUAUCGAUCGUAUCUAUUUCACCCUCGCAUUUAUUAAUCCUAUCAUCACUUUUGUGCACCCCUACAAAGGGAAUUAGUAUUGUAGCCCAUCCACUACAUAUACCUGCUACUAUAUAUAUAUAUAUAUAUAUAUAUAGAAUUUAGCUUCUAUGCUUUUAAAAGUACCAAGUCAAUUGUGCUUGUAAAUUUUUAGCUUUUGGAUUAAUAGAUGUGUGGGUAGGAUGAUGUCGGCCCUUUUGGGUUGAGUGGGUGGUUGGUUGAAUAGUAUAAUUUAACGGAUGAAAAUGAUCAAAGACGUAGAUCUAACGGUAAAAAAUUCACAAGCACCAAGUGCUUGGUACUUUUACAAGCACCAUAGCCGGACUCUAUAUAUAUAUAUAUAUAUUAUGAUAUUUUAAAAAUAUAUGUAAAAGAAUUUAGGAUUCAAGGUUCAAAAUUUUUUUAUACAUAUUUUUUAAAUUUCAUAGCAUAUAUCUAUUAAAUUAUAAUUAAAAAAUAAAAAAUAAAAUUUUAGAAUAAAAAAUUGUGCACCGGGUGCACUAAAAAAAUUCCCACUGUUCUCCCAAAAGAAAGAGCAGUAGGGGCGAUGAGCCCUGCGUGGCGCGUGCCGCAUGGCGUCAAUCUGGCGCAUCCUCAAAUUACACUGUCCAUAAAAUUUUUAUCCAACGAAUUGGAUGUGUACUUGGAUAAUUAAUGAGCUUGGAUAUAAGACCAAGGGACAAAAAUUUUAUAGACAUUGUAUAUUGUUGAUGGUGCCACGUUGCCCAUCUAACGAGCGCCCUCUCCUCUUCCUAUACUGUUCUCUCUCUCUCUCUCUAAAAACAUAUGACAUGAUUUUCUUUCCAUCCGUGGCCGUUGGAUCGGCCAAGUGGCGCUGAUCCACAUAGUCCCCAAACUAAUUAGUUUUUUUUAUUUAUUAUAGGUGUCCGUUGGGUGAGCCACGCGGCGCCCAUGGCACCCAAACUAAAUAUGCUCAUAACAUUUUUGUUCCGGAUCAAGCUCUAGUCGGGUCAGACUAUUCGAAGAUACAUCUUAUCCGUAGAUUAUUUAAACAUGAAUAAUAAAUAAAAUUUAUUCGUAAAUUUUUUGAUAGCUAAUAUUUUUAUUCAUAAUCGUCUGCAGGUUACUGUUUCUAUAUUUUUGAAACAUAAGAUAUAAAUAUAUAAUUAUUAAAAGACAAUAACAUAAUUUACCGUUUAAAAUAUCACAGCAAUAUGUUUAAAAUAUCACAAUAUAUAAUAGAUAAUAUAAAAUUUUAAAACAAUAGGAAAAAAAUUAAGAUUAAAAUUUUAGAGAUAGAUAAAAAAAAUGAAUAUAUAUAUAUAUAGUAAGACUAUUAUACUCUUAUGAGUAUAAAACUUUUCGUACUUCUAAGUUCUUUUCAAUGAUGGAGAUUCCGAAUCAAUAAUUCACUCCGUUAAAUUUGAUUUAGAGUAUUUGAAAGUUCUAAAAAAAAAUUUCGUAAUUUUUCGAAAUCAUAAUAAAGUCUAUCAAGCGGGUAUAAAAUGAACAGUCAAAAUCGAACGACGUCCUACAAAUGUAUAAUUGGAUCGUUCAAUUUAAAAUCAGAGUCAUUGAUCAUUAUCUAGGUAGUACAGAGGCCUCCGUGCUUUCGAAAGUACAUAGGCUUCCAUGUUUAUAAAUUAUUUUCGAUGAUAGAACAUCCGAUUCAACGACGCUUCGUUAGAUAUAAUCUACUAUUGGAACUAUUUAUAAAUCAAAUUUCUUAAUUUUUUGUCAUUAUUUACCAAAUGAUCAAAAUGUCUCAAAAAUAAUUAUUUUAACAGUCGAUGUUACGUUUUUAAGUUCAACGGUAUAGAACAAUCGAAAUUACAUGAAACUUUAAUAAAAAAUUCUACUUAACAUCAAUAGUAAGAUCAAUACUUCCGAUUUAAAAUUUGAGUUUUUUACCAUUAUUUUUUAUGAUUUUUAUUUUCAGCCAUUCAUUUAAAGCUACCGUUCGCUAGGCAAAUAAAGUCAAAAAAUAUAAAAUUUAGUUUUUAGAUAAUUCUAAUAGAGUAGAUCAUGUCUAAUAAAACUGAUAGCCGAAUUGGAUGCUCCAUCAUCGAAAAUAACUUACAAGUACAGAGACCUUCGUACUUUCGGAAGCAUAGGAGCCUCUCUCUCUCUCUCUCUCUCUCUCUCUUUAUAUAUAUAUAUAUAUAUAUAUAUAUAUAUAUAGAAUUAUGCUACUAUACUAUCAAUAGUACCAAACCCUUGGUACUAUUGAGUUUUCGGCUGUUGGAUGAAAAGAUGUGCGCUUAGGAUGAUAGUGGUUCUCAGUUAACUUGAUAGUGGUCUCCUAGGGUUGAGUGGGCGGUUGGUUUAAUAGUAUAAUCUAACGGAUGGAAAUAAUCAAAUGGUAGAUCUAACGGUAGAAAAUUCAAUAGUACCAAGGGCUUGAUACUAUCGAUAGUAUAGUAGCCGGACUAUAUAUAUAUAUAUAUAAAAUUGAGCUUCUAUACUUUUAAAAGUACCAAGUCAUUGAUACUUAUAGCCUUUUAGCCAUUAGAUUAAAAAAUGUGCAAUUAGAAUGAUAGUGGUCCUCUAAAAUUGAGUGAGUAAUUAAUUAAAUAGUAUGAUCUAGUAGAAGAAAAUGAUUAAAAGGGUACCUAUAGGUUGUCCAAAAUACCUACCUGUUUUAACCAUAAUUUUUUGAUUAAAAAAUUAGUGCUCGUACUUGCAAAUUUAUCGAUAAUCCGCAGGUAUCCGCGUAUAUAGGAAGAGAUUGCCUGGUCUAAGCUGUACAUUAUAUUUUCCUCCUCCUUUUGACACCCACUGUAAUCACCACUAAGAUCAUUUGUAUUUUUUUUAUGCUGAGUUAAGAUUCCUUACUCUUCUUUAUGUUUUGGAACUGAAUGGAAAUGGGUUAGGUAAGUGUUAGAUGCUGGACCACCUUGGGCUUUGGCACCCUAGACCUGCCUAAUCCUAGGUGUUUAAUAUUUAUUAUUGUUUUAUCUAGUUUAAUUGGUUUGGUUAUGUUGUCAACACAUGAGCUCUACACAAACCAUUUAAUCCAACCUAUAUAUUAAUGAUCUCAGUGAAGGCAAGUUCUGUUAAAACUAGGGAUGUCAAUGAAUAGAAUAUUUGAAAUUUUAUCCAAAUCCGAAUCUGAACAGGGCGAAUUUAUUCAAUACUAAAUGAAUACAGUUUCGACUAUGGAUAUAAAGAAUGAAGAUCUAAUGAAUUUGGAUUCGGAUAUGAAUUUUGUCUGUACAUGAACCGAACCCGAACCCGACCUGAAUCCAAAUUGAUUUUACAUUAUAUAUGUACCAUUUUGAGUAUUCAUGUUGCGAUGAUCGCAUAUUUACAGCGUUGUGAUUGAUUUUAGUAAAUUUGUUUGGACAAAUUUUGUUGACGCUUUGGUGUACCUUCGUACAUGCGGUGGGUCUGUUGACGUAAUCGGGCAUCCACUGUAAUUCGGGGCGUGAUAAUAUAUAUAUACUUGAGCUGGAAUACUGUUAAUAGUAGUUGGACUCUUUUACUAUCAAUUUUUUAGCCUUUAGAUCUACAUCUUAAUCAAUUUCACCCUUUAGAUGAUACUAUUCAACCAACUAUCCACUUAACCCUAAGGGAACCACCACCAUAUCUUAGGUGAUUACUAUCAUCCUAACCCUACAAUUUUUCAUUAAGGGGUUAAAAACUCGAUAGCAAAAAAGAUUAAAUACUAUAAUAGUAUUCCAGCCCAAUUCUAUACAAUAUACUAUUACAUUUGAAAUUAUGUUUGAAAAGUUUAAAUUUAAUGUAAUAUGUUUUGAAAUAUGAUAAAGAGAAAUAAUUAUUUCCGGUUCUGGCUUCGAAUUUUUGGUCACUACAACAGAAUUAGGUUAUAGGGACACAUGUUUGGGACACUUUUGAGUAAGUGUCCCAUUUAUGCUAAAACUUAAAGAAACAUCUACUAAUGCCUAAAUAUAAAGCCCAAUCCAACUAGAAAUAAAAGAUUACUCUACUCAACCCACCACAUCCAGUCUAUUUGGCCCGAUUACAAAUAGAAAAGAAAAAAAAAAGAAAAUUCAAUUAUCAUAUUUUUUUCUCUCUUCACUCAAUCCAUUGAAAUUCUAGACGAAGAGCCAUUCCUGUCGUCCUCCUCCGCCACCGCAACCAACGAGAUAGAGUUUCGGCGGUUGCUAAAUGCUUAAAUAAGUUAUUGGUAAAUUAGCAGAACUCUUUUAGGUUAUAGCGACACUCUUUAACUGUCACUAUAUACCUAACGACCCCACAUAUAGCAACACUUUUUAAAAGUGUCGGUAAUUUUAGCUAGCAGCACUUUUUUGACAUGUACCUACAUUUAAAAGUAUCGCUAUAGACCGUUUUUGUUGGGGUUCGUGUUUGGAUAUAGAUUUUUAAAAUUUGUUAGAUUCGGAUUCAAAUUCAGGUUGGGAUUCAGAUUUUUGGAUUUGAUAAUCGAGUUCGGGUUUUGAAAAUCCGGCCCUGAUCUCCCUGGUUAAAAUGCGCCACUAUGACUACGCACCUUUUUCAUGCUAUCAAAUCCACACAUUAAAGUUUAAACAUUUUCCUUUUAUCAGAAGAGAAAUGUUUUGGGUGACCUAGAAAAUGUACCUCACAAUAUAGUUUAACUAGUGAAAUACCCACGCGAUGCUGCGGAUUUAAAAUUUUUUUUAAUAAAUUUUAGUUUUUUAUAUUUUUAAAUAAUUUUAUAAGUCUAAUUAUUAAUUAAAUAAAAGUUAUAUAAAAAUAAUUUAAUAGUUAAUUUUAUUUAAAUAAAAUUUAUUAAAACGACAACUUAUUUUAUAAAGAUUUAUGCGAAAAAAGAUUUGUGAUAAAUAUAUCAAAAUAAUUUUAAAAAANNNNUGAGUAUAAAGGAACCAAUACUCAUAAAAGUAUAGUAGCCGGACUAGAAAUAUAUAUAUAUAUAUAUAUAUAGAGAGAGAGAGAGAGAGAGAGAGAGGGAGAGAGAGUAAAGGGGGGUUUGGGGGGACACGUGUCACUCCAAGGUCCCCCCAAACCCUCCUUUAAUGUAGAGAAAUAGAUAGAUGUGCUGGCAUAUACGCGUGGAGAAUUUUAGGAUUCAGAGUUUAAGAUUUAAUUAUGAUAUUUUGAUUUAGAGUUCGAAUCUAUAAUAGUAGCUGUGGCAGGAACAAUAGUAGAAGCACAAGUUUUUUGAAAUAGUGUGUUUGAUUUUAGCUGAGAUGUUCACUUUAGCAUCCAACAAAAACUGCAAAAGUUUUUUGUUUCUUAAACACUCAGUUGAUGAUUCUCGAAUAAGAACCUAUUCUAGACCGCAAAUGAAUAGUUUAAAUUGAACAAUCUUACAAAACUAGAGGAUAGAAUAUUUUUUAACUUCAUCUCAAGACCAACAACUUAAAAUAUUUUCUAACAAAUUAUUAAUCUUGAGACUCUUUGAUUAAAAGACAAAUAUUUUUAAAAAGUUCUUGAAACUCAGUUUGUAAAAAUUUUGAGCUCCUCAAUCAUAUUUAACGAGGUUGAUCAUAUAAUCGCAUGUUCGAUCACCCAAAGUGACUCUACAGAAUCAAACCUUCCUGUUAUUAAUAGCAUCAUACCUAACUUGAAAGGUUUUAAGGCUAGUAUAAUUUAAACAACUCUUCACAAACAAUAUUAUUUUUUUUCUACCAACAGUAUUUUAUCUUCAAACAGUAUUAUUUUUUCAAUUCAUUUAUAUGCUGAUUUUGAUCAUAAAUAAAAAAAAGUCUAAAACUUUUGUUGCGUUGGAAAAAUAAAAUAAUAUAUUCUAAACACUAAUAUCAGGAGUUUCAAUUUGAUGUUGCUGCUUCUCCUGUAAAAGCUAUUAGAAAAAUGCUAAUAUAAUGUUUCCAAGAAUUCCCUCAUGACAUUUGCUAAGAGCGCUUUUCAUAUAAACCCUCACUAUUAUUCAAAAUUUGCAACGAAAGGAGAAUAAAAAUGUACUGAGACACACUCAGGUUAAUAAUUAGGUAUUGCCACCGGUCAUUGUGAUUUGAGCAAGGCUACCUGAAAGGUGUAAGAUUUACAUUUCAGUCUUUCAAAAUUAAAAUUUACUCAUUAUCUUUUUUUUUAUUAAUAUUAGAAAUUUUUAAAAAAUUUUAAACUACGAGAUCAAGGGGUAUAAAAUUUAAAUCCUAUAUUGGGGCGUACGGGUAGUACUUUUAUUUUGAUUUAGGCCCCUGGAACCUUCUCAACUUUUUUUAAAGAUUAUUUUAGAUAAUUUUCUUAAAUUUUUUGUUAAAUUUAAUAAAUAUAUUAGCCAUUACCAAUAAAUAUAUUCACUAUGGUGUAACUACUAAAAAAUGCUACAUGUACAGCUUAUAUAAGAGUGUAAUCUUACUGCCUUAUUAAAGAUGUCUGUGAAUCGGGUCGGAUCUAGAUAGUUGAUAUACUGUAUCCGUACCUUAAUAAAGAUGUAAAAUUUGCAAUGCUACCAAUACACCCUAGGUAUAACAGUAUAGGCAUAAAGUUUGCAACGAGUGGGGUUUGUGGCCAUAUUUAAUCUACUUGUUUUGUCAAAAAAAAAAAAAAAAAAUCUAUUAAUACUUCAAAGUGAAUGUAUCAAAUUUUAAAUCAAUGAUAUAAUUUGUACACCUACAGCUACGGCUGCCAACGAGCCCAACACGAGCGAGUUGGGGCGGACUCGUGUUCGCUCGUUUAUUAAACGAGUCAAACAUGAGCUAGCUCGUUAAAAUUAUAAUAUAUUAGAGUUUGGCAAAUUGACGAAUUAAGUUGCGGUCUGAGCAUUCGGUUCUGGUUAGGGCCCUGGAUUUGGAUGCCCUAUUUUGCUAUAGCAGCACGAAAAAGUAAAGUUGUGGGUUGAUUAAGUUGAUAAGCUAGCGAGAUCAGCAUGCUGACUAAUCAUAUUGAGUCGCUAAGUUUUCGAACACAGGACCAGGUGCUCGAAAAUGAAUUCAAACACUCCUACGAUAGUUCCGGACGCCCAGGUCCAAGAAGGGACAUCUAAAGUAGCUCGAACAUGAGGGAUCGGACGCCCGGAAUAAGGAAUCGGGCACCUGAAACAUCGGACUUUGGCUGAAAAUGGAAUUUUCAUAAUUUUACGGACUUGGCGUAAUUGUUAUAUUAUAUAUAUAGAGAGAGAGAGAGUCCGACUACUAUACUCUUAUGGGUACAAUCGCCCUCGUACUUAUAAUUUGUUUUCGAUGAUAGAACUUCAGAAUCGACGAUCCAUACCGUUAAACGUUAUCUAGAGCAUUUAAAACGUCUAGAUAUCAAAUUUUAUAAUUUUUCGACAUCAUUUACCUUACGAUCAAAAGGUCACAAAAUUGAUAAUUUUUAACAGCCGGUCUGGGAUAUUUGCUAGUUUAACGGUGUAAAAGAAUCGAAAUCGGUUGAAUUUUUGAUAGAAAUUUCUAUUCACUACAUAGAUAAAGAUCAAUAUAUAACUCUGAUCUUAAAUUGAAGGAUCCGAACAUCGUUCGAUUUUGACCGUUCAUUUUAUACCCGCUUGAUGAACUUUAUUAUGAUUUCGAAAAAUUACGAAAUUUAUUUUCUAAAAGUUUCAAAUAUUCUAAAUCAUAUUUAACGGAGUAGAUCGUUGAUUCGGAAGUUUCAUCAUUGAAAAUAACUUAUCAGUACGAAAUGCUCUAUACUCAUAAUUAAGAGUAUAGUAGCCCUAGCCUAUAUAUAUAUAGAGAGAGAGAGAGAGUCCGGCUACUAUACUCCUUAUGAGUAUAGAUUUCUUUACACCUAUAAGUUUUCGGUCGCUAAAUUUACCUCUUUGAUUAUUUUCAUCUGUUAGAUCAUACUAUUCAAUCAAUCGCCUACUCAACCCUAGGGGACCAUUAUUAUCCUAAUUGGAGACCACUAUCAUCCUAAUCGCAUAUCUCUUCACCCAACAGCUGAAAAUUUAUGAGUAUAAAGAGGUCUAUACUCAUAAGAGUAUAGUAGCACUAGCAUAUAUAUAUAUAUAUAUAUAUAUAUAUAUAUAUAGAGUUGAGUUGAGCUAUGAUACUUUUACAAGUAUUCUAAUUCAACUCUCUCUCUCUCUCUCUCUCUCUAUAUAUAUAUAUAUAUAUAUAUAUAUAUAUAUAUAUAUAUAUUCUAGCUCAACACACACACACUCUCUCUCUCUCUCUCUAUAUAUAUAUAUAUUGAGUCCGGCUGCUAUGCUAUUGAUAGCAUCAAGCACUUGGUGCUAUCAAGUUUUCUGCCGUUAGAUUAACCCCUUUGAUUAUUUUUAUCCGUUAGAUUAUACUAUUAAACCAACCACCCAUUCAACCCUAGUGGGCCCACAUCAUCCUAACCGCACAUCUGUUAGAUUAACCCAUUUGAAUUGGGAUUCCGAUAACCAUAAUUUUUCGGUAGAUUAUUUUAGUAAAUUAUGCUUUUAGGAGGUGAUUUUGUUGAGACUUUUGUGAGAUUCUGGUGUUGAAUUUCUUCCUCCUCGAUUUUCCAUUGAUUGUGGCUAUUUAGGUAGGUUCCAUGUCGCCGAACAUGGCUGAUUACAUAUGGAUGACAUUAUGAUAUUUGAUAGUUGAUGUUGUCAUCCUGAUGAUAUUUGUAUACAAAGAAUCAUUAUUCUUAUUAUUUAUCAUUGUCACUUUGAUACCGUUGCAACUGUAAGACUAGGAAAUAUACUGAAAACUUAUGGGACUAAUAUUUGAGAUAUUGACUAUAUGAGAGGAUAUUGGCUAAUAUGAUCUUUUUGAUCAUCUCAUUAACCACAGCUUGCGAGGCCAUAAUGAGCUUGACAGAAUAGGUAGUGAUAUAUGAUGCUCGGUAGGGCUGGCAAACGAGCGAGCCGGCUCGCGUUCGACUCGCGUUCGGCUCGAUAUUCGGCUCGCUCGAGCUCGACUCGAAAUUAAAUGAGCCGAGCUUGAACAAAAUAAAAGGCUCGAAAUUCAUUUCAAGCCGAGCUUGAGCCUAGAUUUAGGCUCGAAAUUAAUUUCAAGCCGAAUUUGAGCUGACAUAAGCUCGCUCGAGCUCGGCUCGUUUCCACCCCUAAUGCUCGGUAGGGUCGCUCCCCACGAGUGCCACUUUGGAGGCAAGUUGAUUAGAUGUGCUAGGCAGCUUACGUGUUGAUGGGGCACUUAUGGGAGUGUGGUUCGGUUAGUAGGCAGGCACAAACUUGACCGGACAUAUGAGAUAGUCAUGACGAUUGGGUCCUAUAUUAUUGCCCGAUUCUAUUUGACAUUGACACAUGUUUUCUGUUACCUCCACAUUGAUUUAUUUAAAGAUCCUAUUACUAUUCAUUGUUUUACUGUGUUAAUACUAAUUAAGAGGCGUGAUAGUGUUCUAUUUUUAGUUCAUAUUAUGCUAAUUAAGUUACUCAUUCUUUUACUUCUUAUUUACUAUUCUUGUCUAUAAUAGACAUAGUAAUGUAGGUCGUCGCUGUCGUCGAUGUACCCACAAAAAAUUAUUGAUUAUAGUUUGCAUGCCCUUCCUUGUUAUUUCUUUUUCAAAACAUUCAAUACCAGUGACAAAUGCAGAUCAAGAUAAGAAAAUAGCUUGCUAGUUAGCAUCUCCUACUCGGAUGGCAACCACUAGAGAAUGACUCGUGGGUAGUUUUAUGUAUAGCAACAAUGUAUACUAUGUACUGGCAAGGUCUGAGGGACUUGUAUUUACAUUUUGGUUAUUGGAGACGUCAUGUACAUUUGAUGUGGAUGUCAUUAGUUAGUGGAUUUACAUACAUGCUGCUAUAGUACAUGUUGUUUAAUUCAUAAACUCUGAUACCUCCUUAGUUGUGGACUUUAGGUACCCUGACAGGUUUGUUGCGCACUUCGGGUGUACGGGGUGCGCCUCCUGUAUCCAUUAGAUCUGUUGAUGCUCCCGAAGGCUUUUGUUGUGACCCAGAAUGUGACAAAAUAAAGCUGAAAAAUUUAGCUAGUGUUCAACUUGUUUAUUAAUGAGCUAGCUCGUGAACAGCAAGUUAGAUUAUCAGCUCUAUUUCGAAAAUUAGAAUCUUAAUAAUAUAAAAUUCACAAAAUAUAGGUCAUUUUAUAUUUGGUUUUGCCUAAAAUUCAAAUAGUAGAAAUUUGUAAUACAUACAUAUAUAUAUAUAUAUAUAUAUAUAGAGAGAGAGAGAGAGAGAGAGAGAGAGAGAGAGAGAGAGAGAGAGAUGGGUUGGAAUACUAAUAAUAGUAUUUGCGCCUUUGUAUUGCUUAGUUUAUAACUCUUGUAUAAUAAAUUGUAAGGUUAUGAUGAUAGUAGUUUCUAGGGUUUAUAGUGGCCCUAUCAGUUUAUAUGUAUUUGGUGGAAUAGUAUUGAUUUAAGGGUGAAAAUAAUCAAAUAAAUAGAUUUGAUAGCUAAAAACUAAAUAUUAUCCACAGUCAGACAAUAGAGAGAAAGAGUUGAAAUAGAAUACUAUCGAUAGCAAAUGAACUCCAUUGCUACUGAUUUAUUUUCAAUGAUAGAACUUCCAAAUCAAUGAUCGACAUUGUUGAAUAUUAUCUAGAUCAUUUAAAGUAUCUUUACCAUUUUGAUAGAGCUUUCGAAUAGGGUGUUUGCACGUUUAACAAUAUAAAAGAAUCCAAAUUAGUUAAAUUUAUGUUGCAAAAUUAUUUAAACUAUUUAAAAUAAGAUCUGUACCCUUAAUCUUGAAUAUAAAAAUAUAUCGUUAAUAUUUUAAGGAUAUUUAUUUUCAGCCGUUUAUUUUUACAUUUACUUGAUGCGCAAGAGAACAACUUUGGAAAAGUAUGAGAUUUAGUUUCUAAAUACUUCAAAUGGUGUAGAUCAUAUUCAACAAUAUCGAACGUCAAUUUAGAAGCUCUAUCAUCAAAAAUACUAAUAGCAAUAGAGUCCAUUUGCUACGGAUAAUAUUCUAGCCCGUCUCUCUCUAUAUAAAUAUAUAUAUAGACAGAGAGAGAGAGAGAGAGAGAGAGAGUUGAGAUGGAAUACUCCCCCUCUCCUCCUCUCCUUUGUUCUCUCCAAUCUUUUAACAGAAAGACCUUCUCUGCAAGUGAGUUAGCACCCGGUGAGAAUUUUGAUUAGAUUAGCAAUCUUGUAUUGAUACCUAUAGAAGUUGGUCGCGUGUGUGGCUUCAAGAGAAUCAAAUUUCAUGAUCAUCAAAUUGCGAUGAAAAUCUACCCACCCAAACGCAAAAUACUAGUAGUAAUAGUAUUCAACUGUGGAUACUAAUCAGUUUUUAGCCGUUAGAUAUACUCUCUUUUCAUUUUUUUCACCCUUGAUUCAAUAUUAUCUCACCAACUACCACUAAACCUUAGGGGGAGCACUAACCCUAUAGACCACUAUCAUUUCAAUCCUAUAAUUUUUCAUCUAAGGGUUAUAAGCUUACUAGUAAAAUGGCUCAACUAAUAUUAAUAGUAUUCCAACCUCUCUCUCUCCCUCUCUCUCUUUUUCUAUAUAUAUGUGUGUGUGUGUAGAGCUACUAUACUUUUGAAAGUACAAGAGAGUUAAUACUUACGACUUUUUGGCCUUUGGAUCAAGUAUUGUAUAGUUGGGAUGAUAGUGGUCCCUCUUAGGGUUGAGUGGUUCUCCUAGGAUUGGCCACCUAGGUUUGAGUGGGUGGUUAGGUCAGUAGUAUGAUCUAACGAAUUAAAAUGGUCAAAUGGGUAAUGUAACGGUGGAAAACUUGAUAGCAUAAAAUGUUUGGUAUUAUUGAAAACACCCUAGUUGAACUAUACAUACAUAUAUAUAUAUAUAUAUAUAUAUAUAUAUAUAUAUAGAGAGAGAGAGAGAGAGAGAGAGAGAGAGGGAGAGAGAGUUGAGCUAGAAUACUCUCAAAAGUACCAAGGGGUUGGUGGUUUUGGGUUUUUAGCCAUUGGAUAGAGAGAUGUAGGGUUGAGAUGAUGGUGGUAGGUGGUGGUAGGUAGUGGUAGGUGGAAUAGUGUUUGAUCCAAAGGUUAUUAGUAAUCAAGAAGUAGAUCCAAGGGCUAGAAACUCAAAAGCACCAAGGGGUUGGUACUUUUGAGAGUAUUCUGGCUCAAUUAUAUAUAUAUAGGGUUAAUUACAGCGAUAGUGUAGUGUCCCUAGUGUUUGUUUUCCUGUGGGAUUUCAGCAUUUGUGGCUUGUCGAUACAUCUGGAAAAUGUCGGGACAAGUCGGAGUCGUUUUGACGCGAAAUGGAUGCAAAACGGACUCAACGCGAGGCUAGAGUAGAGUUCUGACCUCAAAUCCGUAAAGUGCAGGAUUUCAGUGUUUAGUACUGGUACCAGGGAGAGGAGUAUCGGUACCCCAGUGGCAUUCCAGAACUGAUGCUCUCGGGUUGCGCCAAGGUGAUGCUGGGUCCCGGUACUGCAUCGGGCGAGUACCGAUACCUUAUACGCGAGCUUGCGGGUUGAGAGGCCGAGUACCGGUAACCAAAUUGGGUACCGGUACUCCAGCGAUAUGUUGGAGUAGGUAAGGGGUAUUUUGGUCCGUUGGAUUCGGCGUUCAACCCAACCACCCCUUAGCCUAUAUAUGUGUUUGGAGAGUUCACAGAGAGAGAGUUUUGAGCCGGUUCUUCUUCUCCGUUCCCUCUCUCUCUCUAGUUGGUGGACUCGUAUGUCGUAGAGAUCACGGCUCGAGCUCGAGGAGGUUGUCAACUCGAUCCAGAGGGCCGUUCAAGCCUGUGGGCGUCGCGGUUGCAUCGUUGGGAGGCCGGGCGAGCGCGUGGAUUUCCUUCUUUCGACUUCUCGCCGUUGUUGGAUAGCUUUUCGAGGUGGGUUGAAGUUUACCGAAAUCGUCGGAUUUCCUCCUAAACCAAGAUUUCUGUCAACAUGUAUAUGUAUCAUGUGUAGGAGCAUGUUAGUGGCUCGAUUCAUUGAUUUGCAUAGUUUUUAUGAAAUCUGAGUUGGAGCUUUAUAUGCUAGACUUGUUCUAUAUGUUGGACUUGGAAUUGACUUAGGAGAAAACCUUUAAAUCUUACACUGUCAUUUUCUGAAAGACUAUCAGAUUUAGCUGUAGGAGCUGUUAUAAUUUUGUAUCACCGCUGUUAGUGCGAGGUGGAUACCCAGAUUAGUGUAAGGUGAGUUUAUGCUCGUGCUGGGAUGCCGAGCUGUCUUGUAGUAGUAUGUUAGACUGUUUUGUGUUGUCGGGUACUGUCGCGGUUGACGGUGGACUCAGAUUUAUUUAUCUUGCAUCAGAUUGUGCCAAGGGCACGUGAAUGUUGGUUGUUGGACCCAUUGCGUUGACUAUAGUCGUGAGAGCCUGAUUGAGCUCAGUAGAGACACGCUUACAUACUCGGUUUGGGUAGCGCCCGCGAGUGCCGCUCCGGAGUGAGGCUUUACGUGCGUUGUCGUCGCAGUAGUCCUAUUUGGACGGUGCUCUUGGACCGGCCACCCCGGUGGUGGUGUGCGGUAUAGCUUGGAUACAGGCCGGAUGGGCCAGUUGGCAGUCCCUUGACCUUAGGUCAGUGUAGUCGUUGUUGCAGAGGAUGUAUGUUUACAUCUAUAGAUAGCUAGUGUCGGUUAGCGAUAGUAUAGUGGCAUAUAGCUGUAGGAUUUUUCAGCUUUCCUUACUAUCUCUUGCGCACUUUUCUGUAAACUUAGUGGGUGAGCUGUUGAGGUCGGUGACGGUACCCACUGAGGACUACUCUAUUUUGCAGUAGUUCUCACACCCAGUUGUUGACCUCUUUUUGUAGAGCUUUCGUCUGCGGCUGCUGGUGUUGUGGAUUCUGAUGGAGGCAAGGGAAUCGCGAGUUAGAGCCAUCCCUUCCCUGGUUGCAGUGCUAGAGGAGUACCUUCCAAAUGUAGUUUUAGGAUAUUUUUGUACAUAUGGUUGUUGUCGGGGUACUCGCUAGAGCGAGGGUGUAGUGGACUUUUUGUAUGUACAGGAAACCCUCGAGGUUUUUAUAUAUAUGCUAUUUUCAGUUUAGUAGCUCUCUAUCUUGUGGUGGUAGCUUGUUUUUGUUUACAGGUACAGCUAUCGCUUCGUAUACAGGAGAAAGUCCUAUGUAUAUGGCGGGUCUGUUGACGUGCCCGGGGAAACAUGGUAAUUAGAGCGUGACAAAUUAAAUUGGUAUUAGAGCUUAGUAUUAGAUCGUUGGGACCUAGCAAACCUUAGGCUUGGCAAACCUUAGGAAGUUGAGACGUGAGAGGCGUGAUUUAUCGCGGAAGUCAACGAUUGAGUUGUUUUAACUCUUCCUAGAGUGGAGUGAGUUACUGAAAGAGUGUCUGUUUCGGCCAGGAAAAAUUAUGUCGGCUGCAAACGGCAUAAUUUUGAGUAAAAACAGGGAUGGCCUUCUAGACUUUUGCUUUAUUGGGUCGAGAGUUCAUUGUGUUCUAUAUCUGACCCUUCUUUUGGUUUCAGGUAGCCAUGUAUUGACGUCGAGGUCGACUGCCGACGCGGGAUCGUGCCGUGCCAUCAGAGAUGCCUGAGCAGGCAGGGCCGAGUAUACCCCGCGAUCUAAGAGAGCAGUUAGCUGCCCUGACUGAGGCGAUCAGGCAGAAUGGGGCACUGUUAUAGAAGAUGUGCGAGACAUUUACUCCGCCGACGAGCACAGCACCUCGAGCACCAGAGCAGCCGGCACCACCAUUGACUACUCCAGUCGCCGCACCAACCACAGCUGUACCCCCACCAGCGGCAGCUCCUGUAGCGCCAGUUGCAUCUUCUGAAGAGGCGUCGCAGAUGUCCGAGGCUGAGCAGGAACGGAUGACAGAGUGGCUCUCUCAUUUCCGUCGAUUUGAUCCGCCGCGCUUUGAUGGCAGUUGCACGGAGCCCUGGAUUGUAGAGAGCUGGAUGAGCGCGAUGGAGAAGUUAUUCGAGGACUUGUUUAUACAGGAGCGGGAGCAGGUACAUCUGUGCACUGUUUGGCAAGCGAUUCGCAUUCCUGGUGAAGGAGGAUGAGACAAACUCGAGGGUUGGUGGCGCUAUAGAUAAAGUAGGACGAGUUUUACGGAAUGCUGUACGAGGCGUAUUUUUCAACUAGCGUGAAGCAAAAACUCGAAGAGGACCUGAAAAAACUACAGCAGGGGGAGCGAUCAGUUCAGGAGUACACUAGCGAGUUUACUCGGCUUCUGAACUGUGUGCCAUUUGUAGCCAGAGAUGAGGCCCACAAGGUAUACCUGUAUGAGGGAGGCUUGAGGCCUGAGAUCCUCCAGUUGGUGCAGGCGCAGAGGUUGAGGACCUUGGACUCGUCGAUUGAGCAGGCGUUGUGGGUUGAGAGAGGAGAGGUGUCAGUCCGCCAGCGGGCACCGGUACCGGGGCAGAGUCAGGACAGAAAGCGCCCGGCCCCUGAUGAUGGCGGACAGACUAGUGGCAGGCGUCCGCCGAGUGUAGUACACUGAACUUAUGUACAUUGCGAAGUUCGAGUAAAAGGAAUAAUAUUUGGAACCUUCCCACAUGUUAUAAAGAGUUUAAAGUUAUUUAUGAGUAAGUCUGAGAGUGAUUGGAGUGUGGGAAGCGAGAAAGUGCCUUGUAAUUUCGAACUGGGCCUUUUCUGCAUUGGUGUACCGGUACAAGCAUGAUGCUGUACCGGUACAGCAAGCAGCAGAGGCAGCAGCUGCGUGGCAAUCAGGCCAUUUUGGUCUUUUGGCAUCUUAUGCUUAUCUACUUGAUCCAGCACGACCCCAGGAGCUCUGUAGAAGUUGCUGGAGCUCAGAGCAAGCUUCUUCCCCUUCUUCCUCCUUCUCUCUCUAGGGUUUUUCUCUCUCUACGCGGAAGUCGCCGUUUUGCGCCGAUUGCGCGUCCCGAUCAACGGUUGCUGGUUAGGUGGACUUGGGGUCGGCUUUUAAAAGGUAAGUGAAGUGUUUUUAGCUGGGUUUUCAUGUCUACUGCUGGGGGGCAGCGGCUGCUGAAUAAUAAGCUGUAGAGAAGUUUAUAGCUCAAAUUACUCUCAAGUUUGUUGGGUUAUAUUCGUUUUUGACGCAUUUCAGUUUUAUUGCUUCAGCUGAGUUUGAGAAGGACUCCAGCACUUGAAAGGAGUUGUUUAGCUGUGAUUUAACUACCUUGGAUCAGGUUAAGCUGCUGCAAAGCUAAACAAGGUAAUUAUUAACAUGACAAAUUCAGAACCGUGUGUAGUUUAAUUGAGUUAAGUGACGCAGCUUGGAUGGAAUCUCGUAGCAGGUUUUCGAGCCUCUUUGAGCUGAACCUGUGCUCUUGAAGCUGGUUUAGGAGGAUAUUUUAACCAAGGGUAAGUUGAAAUUUCUGUUAGAAACGGAAUUUGUAAAGAUCCAGCCAUAUUACUUAGUAAGGGAGCGUUUUGGACGCGCGUUUCGUGUUUGUUCGCAGCAGGGUUAUAAUUAACCUGGAUCGUCCAGCUGAUCGCGUGAGAGCUUUUGGAAGCUUAACUGAAGUAAUUCGCCUGAACCAAAACAAAGAAUUAAGUCGGCAAUAUAGUUGAAUGAGAAUUUCGCCGAAAUUGGAGUUGUAGUAACCAUGAUGACGCGAUUCUUGCAUUUAUUUUUCAGCAGGAUUGAGGCUUCGUUGAGCUUGAUUUUGGGACUCUUGUGGAUUGAAUUGGAGUCUUGUAUUAGGUGGGUUUGACCUAACCAGAAGCAAGUGAAGCCUCCUCUAUGUUCUAUAUGUGAUUAUAUGGAUUGGUUUAGUCUGUGCGUAUUGUAAUUAGUUGAGUGACUGAGUACUUGGACCUUGCUACUAUAAUGAUUGAUGCAACUAAAAUAGAACCUCUAAAUAAAAGGAAUCUCAUGCAAUACAAGUACUCAUGCAUAAACAUAUUCUUGUUUAGUUCAGUGGAACCAUCAAGAGAUAACUACAAUAUGCUCUAUCAAGUAGAGAAUAAUAUAUUCUUGUGACUUUAUUUACUUUAAAGUAAGAACAACAAUAUGAUUUAUGCCUAUGUUGAUAGUGCCAUGAUAGUGAAAAGAUUCUAAUGCCAUAGGUGAAUUUAGCAUUGUUCUUGCAUUUUAUUUAUCUAGUGGAUACUAGUUUGUUACCAAUAGUUAUUAUAUUGGAUUCGAUCAAAAGAUCGAGAGUGAAACACUGUAAAUUGAAAAGUGAUGACUGAGACAUAUUGGGCUAUUGUUUUGCUUGCUGCCAUUGUGCUCAUUCGCACAUGCUUGUGAGGGUAACUCCCUACAACCGCACGCACUCCGGAGUUGGCCUACGCGACAGUUGCUCCACCGCGGCGAUUGGGUGCCGAAGUGGAAUUGCCGUGGGAGUAUGUAUAUACAUGGGGCCAUUAGGUGCGGGCAAGCUUGACUACCUGGGUAGGUCUUGAUAAAUGAAAAGAAAAUCUAAAUGAGAUUAAGUACUAAAUGAUAUUUGACAGUAAUGAAUGCUUACCUUGUUACAGUAGGUAUUUACAUAAUCGUGCUUAUGUUCACAUUAUAUUCAUUACUGCAGAGAUUAUAAUUACAUGUUGAAUACAUGCUCAUCACCUGUUAGCAUUGCAUAUAUAAAUAUCAUGCAAAUUAUCGCUUUUAACUUUCAUUUAGUACAUCCAGAGCCUGUGGUGUAUUCGCGGAGGCUGGCGCUUACCCACUGGGAAACUAUUGUUAAUAGUUUCUACACGCCCUUUUUAUGGUUGUUUUUUGCAGACACAUCUACAGGAGAGACUAGGAAUCGUGGCAAGGGAGUCGCGCCUAGCUAGGCACUACUAGGAGCGUGCUAGUCGAUCACUGUUACUCGGGCUAACAGCGAGGUGAUGUCCUUAUGUAUAUGAGAGACAAUCAUUGUACCUACUUUUUGUAUACCCAGUACUGUAUAUCUACUGUAUGGAUCCGAUACUUUAGUUGUGAUACUAUCUUUUGGUUGAGAUAUUCUGGACUAUACUCCUUUGCUCUAUUGUUGAUAGUAUCUUGUUGACUGGUACUUUGCUCUGAUAUCGGAUAGAAUUUUCUAUGAUCUUCUUUCUUAUCGACUUGCUUGGUUGUAGACGCCUUAUAUACUGAGGUGUAUGGCGGGUCUGUGCACGUAUCGGUUAUGCUUCCGCUGGUACUCGGGUGUGACAGAUUAUAGUCGGUAUCAGAGCAUAGGUUGAGUCUUAGUAGACCUAGCAAACCUUAGGCUGGUUGGACUAUAAGGAUAGGCUCGUGAGAGGCGAUGUCUAGUCGCGGCUUGUUGUUAAGCGAUAGUACUUUAUUGGGUACUUAUAAAACUCCGACUAGUAGGAGUUUGAUCGGGAUGUGCAAUUACUAACUUUGCAGAGGUCAUUUGCGGCCGACAACGUGACAUCANNNNNNNNNNNNNNNNNNNNNNNNNCACGGCCGAACAUCCCUCGCUGGGAGUGUUCGUACACGCUUACUCGUGUUACCGUCGUUCGUUUUGUUAUCGGGUUAUACAGAGUCAGUAGUGAAAAGUUAAAUGUCACAAGAGUGAGAGCUAGAAAACUAGCCUUAGAGUUAUAUUAUUGAUAACCAUUGUUGAUCAUAGGUGAUCUAUUUAUUUGUACGUUCUUGUUACGAUUUAAGUGGAUACCGUAAUCUUAGAAAAGUGAUAGUACCGUGAUAGUUGUAUCCGUAUUUAGUAUAACAACAAGAGAUGAAAUUUCAUUUAUUUCAGUGUUCUUAUAGUAAUAAGAGAUGAACUAUCUCGUAUACAUUCAAUAGAGAACUACCAAGGUGACUUGAUUUGUUCUUAUACAAAUACGUACUCAUGAACAUACGUACUCAUAAGAGAUGAAAUAUCUCCAAGAUAAAAUUAACGUAGUUAGUAAUAUCAUCGUUCCAGGUUCAUGAGUCAGUGAGUUUGAUUAAUGUUCAUGCGUGUCGAUUUGGUUAGGAUAUUAGUGUAUAUCUUGUAUCUCCUCGAAGUGAACGAGACCAAUCCAGUUUGGGUGGAUUAUGUUCUGAGGUUAAGUUAGGUGUUCUCAGGGUUUUAGUUCGAGUUGCUUCGGAGUUAGGACGACUUUUUUAUUUACGUUCUUAGCGCAGUAGUACCAAUGAUGUUGAGGUUAAAGCCGCUUUAAGAGUUAACAUUGAUAUAACGCUGAAUUAAGAAACAAAACCAAGUCCGUUAAUGGAGGUCAAUUCGAAGGUUUUCGAGAGUGGCUAAUCAACUCUUGCUAGGUUCCCAAUUAAUAUUGGGACGAUGCUUGUUUGUGCUUUGCCGCAGUUUUGCGAGGGAAUGAUCCAUUAUACCGACUUUAGAAUGUUUAAGUCAAAGAUUGUCCUUAAAGUUGAAUGGGAACCAAUUUAUAGGAGGAUUUGGUCGAAGGUUCUCGUGUCCAAGUCGAGUUUCUCCGAGCUUUUGGACGACGCUUCUUAAGUUAGGUUCGACGCAGUGAAUGAGUUAAUUUGAUGUGUGCCAGGACUUAAAUACAGUAUCAAUUGAUUAAUAGAAACAAAUCGAAACGUCGUCGAAUUGGGACUAGGUUCCAUCAAUUUAGUGUCGAUUUGUUGAGGAAAGUUCGACGACCUCAGGAAGAGUUUGAGUCGACCUUCGUUAUUUUGACUUUACGCAGUUUUUGCUUAUGAUUGGGUGUUUGAACUCUCAUUAACUCGAUAUUUGAAGAGAUGUCGAAAAUAAGUCGUCGGAGGGUCGUCAUCUGUACUUUUGGGUCGAUUUUUGUGAAGUGAAUGGAAAAUUUUCGGCUGGGGUUCAGGUGGAUUGGUCAUUGGCAACUAGCCCUGCGCGUUAGCCGCGUUUUGCCGCUGAAGGCGCAUCUCUCUCUUUUUGGGAUCUCUCUCUUCCUCCUUCUUCCCCUUCUUCGAACGAGACUCGAGGUCGUUGAAGAUGUCUCGAGGACCCCAGCACGACCUAGUUCAUCUAUUCGUAUUCUACGGUUUUCUGGUUUUACCGGACUAACGGUGCGUCGACGACGGAGACGACGAACGACAUGGCCAUGUCGUAGUACGAACAUGGCCAUGUGGUUACGUCUUUUCCGGGUUAAGCUUUAAUGUUCCGUCAAAGAGCGAAGGGUGUGAGGCUAGUGAGAGUCUGAAUGAGUAUUUAUUGAAAUUUGAGAAAUAUUGUACACCCUUCCAAGGUUUAUAAUAAGGGAAAUGAGCUUGAAGCGUUACAUGUAUACAAGUCAUAUGAUGUCAGUGGGGAGGAUUUUUACUCAAAGCAGGCGCUUUGAACAUUUGUGAAUGGAGUCCUAAAGCAGCUCUUAUCUAUCCCUAUUACGAGAACGUAAUGUAAAAGGUCAAGGGUUCACCGAAGAGCAAGUAGUACUAAAAAGGUUUCAUAGAAAUGCAUUCCAUAAAGCGCUAAAGCUUCGGCAAAGUGGAGAGCUCGAUUAUAGGAAUGACCUACGAGGAGCUUCGAGUUUAGAAGAACAUUUAGGUGACCUCAUGAGAGGUUUUACACUCAACCUAAUUUUUGUAUGAAGGCAUCACAUCUAUGUACUUUGUGUAAUACAUGAGGGCUAUCUAAACUGCCGUUACGUUCAGCUAUUCGAUGCCCCGGAUGGGCGAGGUUAUGGAGCAUUCCAGGUUAUUUAGCUCCUGAGUUGAAAGGAGCUUAUGGUUUGGAAAAUUGAGGAAAACAGCCACUUUGGAAGUCUUUAUGUACUAGUGGUUGAACUUUAAGAUUAAGAGCGGCUGCAAACAGGCGUAUUGAGAAAACAGCUGAAACCCGACAGUCAUCUACAAGAGCGCGUUCAGCUUGAAAUCGAAGUCGGAGAACAUUAUGUAGACCUGGGUUUUGGUUAGAGAGUGGGUGAAGUGAGGUUACUUCACCACUAGACGUGAAAGAUGGUAUUUCCCGAAGUUUGCCACGGUAGACUUAUGACCGAACUAUUGAUAACAAUAUUCGUUUAAGUCGGUAUCCGUUCUUGACACCGGUUGACGGGACUAUCAGUUAGUGUGUCCGGGCGUUGUAUAGGAGUUCCCAGACCUACCAUGCGAGUCCGGAGUUGGCCUACGCGACAGUUGCUCGCCCGUGCGGGAUUGGGUGCCGAAGUGGAUUGCCGUGGGGAGUGUAUACUACCAUGGGGCCAUUAGGUGCGGGGCAAGCUUGACUACCUGGGGUAGGUCUUGAUAAAUGAAAAGAAAACUCUAAAUGAGAUUAAGUACUAAAUGAUAUUUGACAGUAAUGAAUGCUUACCUGUUACAGUAGGUAUUUACAUAAUCGUGCUUAUGUUCACAUUAUAUUCAUUACUGCAGAGAUUAUAAUUACAUGUUGAAUACAUGCUCAUCACCUGUUAGCAUUGCAUAUAUAAAUAUCAUGCAAUUAUCGCUUUUACUUUCAUUUAGUACAUCAUGAGCCUAGUGGUGUAAUUCGCCGAGGCUGGCGGCUUACCCACUGGGAACUAUUGUUAAUAGUUCUCACGCCCUUUUUAUGGUUGUUUUUGCAGAGCCAUCUACAGGAGAGACUAGGGAUCGUGGCAAGGGAGUCGCGCCUAGCUAGGCACUACUAGGAGCGUGCUAGUCGAUCACCUUGUUACUCGGGCUACAGCCGAGGGUGAUGUCCUUAUGUAUAGAGAGACUAUCAUUGUACCUACUUUUUGUAUACCCAGUACUGUAUAUCUACUGUAUGGAUCCGAUACUUUAGUUGUGAUACUCAUCUUUUGGUUGAGAUUUCUGGACUAUACUCCUUUGCUCUAUUGUUGAUAGUAUUGUUGACUGGUACUUUGCUCUGAUAUCGGGAUAGAAUUUUCUAUGAUCUUCUUCUUAUCGACUUGCUUGGUUGUAGACGCCUUAUAUACUGCAGGUGUAUGGCGGGUCUGUGCACGUACCGGUUAUGCUUCCGCUGGUACUCGGGCGUGACACCGAGACCUCUACGAUCGCGCUCUAAGGGUCGUGGGUCUUCGGGGCGACAGCGGUCUGAGGGAUUCCGUCAGCAGCAGAGGCUUCCACGGUGCAUCUUUUGUGGGGGACCACACUAGCCCCGACAGUGUGAGCAGAGGGAUGGCCGGUGUUAUGGAUGUGGACAGUCAGGACAUAUAAGGGCAGCUUGUCCCUGAGCAGCAGCGCCAGCACCUUCGACAGCGUCAGCUCCGCCAGCACCUCAGCAAACUUAUGAAGCGUCGCCGAGCUACCGUCAGGAGUAUAGGGCGUCUGUGCCGCGACAGAGUGAGCGGCGACCGCAGGCCUCGAGUGGUAGGGUGUAUGCAGCCCAAGUGGACGACUCUACCGCAGGCCCUAAUCUUUUUUUUUUUUUACAAUUGAGUCCCUAAUCUCUUGAUUUUAUUACAAUUACGUCCCAAUCGUUAAGAAAACUGUUAAAAUUAACGGAAUCGCCACGUCAGCGCAUAUUUGGCAUCCUUUUCUAUGUUAAUUUAGGUCCCUAAACUUCACACGUUUUUUCAUUUUAGUCCGUAAAAAUAAAAAUUCAAAAUUUUAAAUUAAAAUUCAAAAAUAAUAUUAAAAUUAAAAUUUUAAAUUAACGAGAAAUUAGAACUUUGAAUUUCAAUUUGAAUUUAAAGCUGAAUUAAAAUUUUGAAUUGAAAUUCAAAUUUUAAAUUUAAAUUUUUAAUUGAAUCUAAAUUUUGAAUUCAAACUUAAAAUUUUGAUUUUAAUUUUGAUAUUUCAUUUUAUAAUUAAAAUAGAAGUUUUGAAACCAAAAUUUAAAUUUAAAAUCUGAAUUUAAAUUUAAAAUCAUAUUCAAAAUUUUGAUUUUAAAUUUUAAAUUUGAAAUUCAAAUUUAAAUUUGAAUUUAAAAUUCUGAUUUCAAUGCUAAAAAUUGAAAUUUAAACUUUAAAUUCAAAUUCACAUUUGAAUUUAAAAUUUCAAAUCGACAGUUUGAAAAAUUAAUUAAGAUUUAGAAUUCCAAAUGUCGAAUUUGAAUUAAAAGUCAAAUUUAAAAUUAAAUACAAAAUCGGAUUUGAAUUCCAAUUUAAAUUUGAAUCCAAAGAUAAAUUUUAAAAUUUAAAUCUUAAAUUAAUUUUUUUUAAUUUAUAAAUUUAAUGGUUAAUUACACUAUUGGUCCCCAAACUUUGCACUGUUUUUCAAUUUGGUCCCCAAUCUUUUUUUUUUUUUGCAAUCCGUUGACACAGCGCCACCAUGGCGCUGACACGACGUCUCCGUAGCGCUAACAUGACGCCUCCGUGGCACUGACAUGGUGCUGACAUGGUAUUUUUCGUCAAUUUUAACAGCUAUCUAACGGUUGGGACUUAAUUAAAAUGAAAUCAAGAGAUUAGGAACUUGAUUGCAAAAAAAAAAAGAUUGGGGACCAAAUUGAAAAAUAGUGUAAAGGUUAGGGGCCAUUGGUGUAAUUAACCCAUAUAUAUAUAUAUAUAUAUAUAUAUAGAGAGAGAGAGAGAGAGAGAGAGAGAGAGAGAGAGAGGAGGAGGAAGAGAGAGAGUAGGGCUACUAUACUCUUAUGAGUAUGGGCCUUCGUACUCAUAAGUUGUUUUCGAUGAUGGAGCUUCCGAAUCGACGAUCCUUCGUUAAAUAUGAUCUAGAGUAUUUGAAACUUUUAGAAAAUAAAUUUCGUAAUUUUCGAAAUCAUAAUAAAGUCCAUCAAGCGGGCAUAAAAUGAACUAUCAAAAUCGAACGACGUCCUAAAAAAUGGAUGAUCGACCUUCAAUUUAAGAUCGGAGUUAUUGAUCUUUUAUCUAGGUAGUGAAUAAAUUUCUAUCAAAAUUUCAACCAAUUCCGUUCAUUUACAACCGUUAAACAAGCAAGUAUCCCAUAACGGUUGUUCAAAAAAUUGUCAAUUUUGUGAGUUUUUGAUCGUAAAGGCAAAUGAUCGUCAAAAAAUUAUGAAAAUUAAUUCUAGAAGUUUUAAUGCUCUAGAUAAUGUUUAACAUGUGGAUCGUCGAUUUGGAAGCUCUAUCAUCGAAAACAACUUAUGAGUACAAGGGCGAUCAUACUUAUAAGAGUAUAGUAGCCGAACUCUCUUCUCUCUCAUCUCGCCCUCCCUGAGAUAAUCCUAUCUCUCCGUGCUCUCUCUAACGGUUCCAGCCUCUCUUCUCUCUCUCUCCUCUCUCUCCUCUCUCUCUCACUCCUCUAAUAUAUAUUAUAUAUAUAUAUAAUAAUAUAUAUAUUAGAGUCCGCUUACUAUACUUUUAUAACGUAUGGCUAACUUAUACUCAUAGAUUUUCCGGCCUUAGAUUAUUCCCAUGAUCAUUCCAUCCGAUUAGAUCGAUACUAAUUCACCAACUAACCACUUAAACCUGAAGGACUACUAUUAUUCUAAGUGGAUCCACCAUCAGUCCUAACCCACAACAUCUAAUCAAUCAAUGGUUAAAAAUUUAUGAGUACAGAUGUUCUAUACUCAUAAAGAUAUAGUAGCCCCCAGCCUAUAUAAUAAUAUAUAUAUUUGGAUAAUUGGAGCUAGAUAUACUUAGAACACCAUCUCAUUUGGUGCUUCUAAGUUUUCUAGCCUUGAUCUACUACAUUGAUUAUUAAUGCUUUGAUCAAAUUACUAUUCCACCUUACCCACCAGCUACCAUCCAUCACGUCUCAAUCCUAUAAUUUCUCUCAUCCAACAGGAUUAAAAACUCAAAAGCGGCCAUCCAUGUACUUUUGGGAGGAAAAAAAAAAAAAAAAAUAUCUAGCUCUACUCUAAGAUUAUUUAUAUACACGUGUAAUAUAUAUAUAUUAUAUAUAUAUAUAUACCUAUAGAUAUAUAAUAUAUAUAUAUAUAAUAUAUGAUAAUAUAUAUAGUAUAUAUAGUAGAGCUAGAAUACUCCCAAAAAGUACCCAAUGGGAUUGGUGCUUUAUAUAUAGGGCUUACUAUACUCUUAUUGAGUAUAGAGUCUUCAUACUCAUGAAAGUUGUUUUCAAAAUGUAUGAAGCUUCCAAAUCCGAUCGAUCGAGUCGCGUUAAAUAUGUAUAGAGUAUUUCGAAACGUUGUUAGAAAAGAUAUUGGUAAUUUUUCGAAAUGUCAUAAUAAAGUUCAUCAGCGGCAUAUAAAAGACCGGUCAAAACAAUCGAACGAUGUUUGGAUCCUAUCAUUUAAAGAUCGGAGUUAUCAUACUUGAUCGUUUAUCUACGUAGUGAAUGAAAGUUUCUAUCAAAAAUUCAAACCGAUUUCCGAUUUUUUUAAACACGCGUUGAAAACUAGACAAUUGUCAUACCGCGCUGUUAAAAAGAUUCGUCAAAUUUUGUUGACCUUUUCGAUCGUAAGGUAAAUGAUUCAAAAUUAUAAAAAUUGUGAUAUCUAGGCGUUUUAAAUUGCUUAGGAUAACGUUUAACGGUGUGGAUCGGUCGAUUCGGAAGCUCUAUCAUCGAAAAUUAACUUAUAGUCUGAGUCGCAGAGCGACUACUCAUAAAAAGUAUAAGUACCGGACUUCUAUAAAUAUAUAGUAUUAUAUAUAUAUAUAUAUAGAGAGAGAGGACGACGAGAGAGAGAGAGAGAGAAAGAGAGAGAGAGUAGGGCUAUUAUAUUCUUUUAUGAGUAUAGAAUUCUCCUUAUACUUAUAAUUUUUUUUGUAUGAUGGAGCUUUCGAAUCGACGAUCCACUCCAUUAAAUAUGAUCUAGAGUUUUUAAAACUUUUAAAAAAUAAAUUUCGUAACUUUUUGAAAUUAUAAUAAAGUUCAUCAAGCGUGUAUAAAGUGAACGGUCAAAAUCGAACAACAUCCUAAAAAGGAUGAUCGGAUCGUUCAAUUUAAGAUCAGAGUUAUUGAUCUUUAUCUAAAUAAAAACAGAAUUUUUUAUAAAAAAAUCAACCAAUUUCGAUUUUUUUACACCAUUAAACUAAUUACUAUCUCAUCCCAACGGUUAAAAAUUAUUAAUUUUGAGAUCUUUUGAUCAAAAGAUAAAUAAUGUCAAAAAAAAUUAUAAAAUUUGAUUUCUAAAAAUUUUAAAUACUCUAGAUAAUAUUUAACGUCAAUUCGGAAGCUCUAUCAUCGAAAACAACUUAUAAAUGCGAAGGUGAUCGUACUCAUAAAAAUAUAGUAAUCAAACUUUCUAUCACUCUCUCUCUAUAUAUAUAAGCUAGCUCUAUCGAGUCAAACACGAAUUAGUUGAUUUCAGAUCGUGUUCAACUCAAUCCUUAAGACAGUGUUUGGAUUGAGGAUAAGGGGAGGGAUAACCCCUUAUCCCCCUUUAUACUUAGACGCAAAUUUUUUAUCCGAGAAUAAUAGUUCUCGGAUACCUGAAAUAAACUGGUAUUACUAUCCCCACCAACAUCUUCAUUUUUUAUAUAUAACUACCUACUAUUUUUUUUAUUCCAUAUUAUCUAUCCAAACGUUAUUUUUCUUAUCCUCGGAAACAAUUCAAUUUUCAUCCAAACGCUAUUUUGCUUAUCCUCAUACUUGUACCUAUCCCUGUAAUAGUUAAUUCUUACUUAUUUCCAAAACAAACGGUACGAUCAAUUUCGAGCUCCUUACAAACGAGGGAUUUUACAUUGUCACACUUGCACUAUAUCAUCGAUAACAAGUCAAUCACAUUUCUUCUUUUCAAACAAAAGUAUAAUACAAAUAUUUUUUUAUAAUCAUGAUGAAACAUAUAUCUUUAAAAAAAAUAUUUAAUUAAUUUAUUAUGCCACGUCAUUAAUAUAUCCGGUGUAUUCUAGAAUUUUUCCUAACCAACUAAUUGCCUAACAACAACGAACCAAAUCGACAGACAGCCGGGCAGCACUUUCCUAUUUGUAAUAGAUUGACAGUUACUGGGAGGAGUAUUUUUAAUUUUUAAUUUUUUUUUUCUUUAAUUGUGAGAGACCAUAUGAUGACGGAGUGCGGGCGGUACGAGGCAGUUGUCGAGCAGAGGGGGGUCUACAGGAAUCUCUCCUCUGCCCGCGGUCCUUCUCAUUAUUCCACGCAUGCCCCGGCCUGACCUUUUCCCUCUCAUCACCAUUUUUCCAAUUAAAAAAUUAUUUUUUUUAAAAAUUUACGCCCCUUUUACAAAAAGAAAUAAUAUUUUCUACUGUUUAAUAAGGCACCGUUUCAAUUGAAAAUAAGGGGUGAAAUAAUCCUAUAUCCAAACGUUAAUUUUUUAUUUAAAAAUAAUAAUUUUUGAAUAAUUAAAAUAAGCUGGUAUAAUUAUUCUCACGAAUAUCUUUAUUUUUUAUUUUUCUUAUCCUCGGGAAUAAUCUAAUUUUCAUCCAAACGCUAUUUUUCUUAUUCUCAUACUUGUACAUAUCCCUGUAAUAAUUAAUUUUUGUUUAUUCUCGAACCAAACAGUGUGAUUAGUAUAGAAAAAUUAAUUUUUUAAUCUAAAAAAUUUAAAAUAAUAAUUUAAAUAAUUUAUAAAAUUUAUCUAAAAAAUUUUAAUCUUAACAAAAUAAUAAUACAGUGUGAUUAGUAUAGGAAAAUUAAUUUUUUUAAAAAAUAUAAAAUUUAGGAUAAAUUGCGCGCAUGGUCCUUAAACUAAUAUAUUAUUUUUAUAUUAACGGUAGAUCAUAUUUAGUCAAUUAAACUUCGUUAUAAGUCUUUAUUAUAAUAAUUCUAAAAAUUCAAACUAAAAAUUAUAAUAUGUUAAAUUUUAAGAACCAAAACAUCACCCGCAUUAUAAUUUGAUGAGAACUAAAUAUGCAAUUUACUCUAAAAUUUAUAUGAAAAAUGUAUCGUGUACAUCCAAAUAGGAAGUGUAAAUAUUAUUACAUCACAUUAUCCAAAAAUUUUCAAUUUUAUUAAAAUUUUAGCAUUUAAAAAAAAGAGGCAAUUGCUCUAUCUUUCUAAUUACCCAUCUUAGAAUGCUAAUAUUGAAAAUAUUUUUUUUACGUUCCAAUCUAUUUCCAAUAUUGUUAAUAAACUAUUAGCAAUAUUUAUUAUUAUCUUUAUGAAAUUAUUAUUUUGCUUUUCAAAUAUACUCUUCUAUUGUAACAAACUUUUUUUAUUUGCCCUUGAGUUAGGGACACAAAAAAUAUUUAGAUUUUUGAUCUUUCCAAAUAUGCUCUUCUAUAAUCACCAAUAUUUUUCAUUUGCCCCUAAGUUAACGGCAAAAGAUUUAUUUUGAUUUUUUUUAACUCUAAUAGAUAUUUAACUCACAUUUAACUCAAAUUAAUUUAACGGAUGGUGACUUUACAAAUAUUUUAAAAUAAUAAAAUAAAGAUAUUUUAAAGUUUUUAAAGAUAUGUAGAUAGUUAUCCCUCGAACAUAUUUUUAAACCAGUAUUAAUUUUUAAUAUGAAAAGAUGCAAAAAUAUACUUUUUUUUUUCGAAAUAUACCGAUAUAAAUUUACUUUUGCACGUACAACUACUAAAGAUGUCCGUGGACCGGAUCGGGUCUGGAUAGUUGAUAUACUGUACCCGUACCCUAAAAAAAAAUGGUUAGAAAAAAAAAAAUAUACCCUACCCAUUUAACUUCGGAUCGAAUCCGGAUCUGGAUACUUAAGUUACUAAUAUAUCCAUCGGGUCUAUCUGAGCGGAUCUCGAUAAUGACUAUCCGUAUACUAUCCGUUCAAAACCGGAUACAGGUCGGGUACGGGUACCUGUAUAUUUAUAUGUUUUUAUAUACUUUAUUAAAUUGUUUGGGCAAAAUUUGUUUCGGCCAUUAUAUUUACUGAUUAAAAGUUUAAAAUUUAAAAUAAUUUUAUAUGUAAACAUACAAAAAUUAAAAAAUUAUGAUACCAUAUUACAGAUAAAGAAAAUAUAAGUUGUAGUAAUUACUAAUAUUAUAUACUAAUAUUCAAAAAAAAAAGGAAAAAAUAAAGAUGAAUCAGAAAAUUUACUAAAUAGAAUAUUCAUUAAAAAAAAUAGAUUGUCGACUAUGAUUGGAGAAUAGAUUUGGAAAAAAAAAACUCACUUGUACCACACCCGUAAAAGAUUAAUAUCGCUUAUGAUGACGACGAUGGAAAUAUUGUUUUAUAAAAAAUCUUAGGUGGAAAUAAAACAAAAAAAAAUAAAGAGUUAAAAACAAAGAGUAAGAAAAUUAGAAAAAAGAAAAUAGUAAAAGAGUGGCUAGGGUUUCAGUGUUUUCCUUGGAUGAAAAUACUUAGAGAUCUCUCGUCUAUAAGUCCUAUUAAAAUUAAUCCCUCAACUUUAAAAGUUCACAAUUUUUUUAUUUACUAUCGGAUAUUUUAGCAGGUUCGGAUUUAAAAACUAUUCCGGAUCCUACCCAUUUAAAAGUUGGGUUCGGAUCAGAUCCAAAUCGGGUAUGGGUAUAAAAUAUCCGGACCCAUACCGGAAUCUUUAAUGGGUUUUUCUUUCACCCGUAUACUAUCCAUUUUUUAUCGGGUCCAGUUCGGGUCCGAUCGGAUUCGGAUAUUUUGGACAGCUUUAACAACUGCCAUUACUUUUUCAGAUAACACUUUUUUUUUAUCUUUUUUUUAAUUUCUCUGAUAAUUAUUAUAUUAUUAUUAUUAUAUUUGGGCUACAACAACAGGCGGCGCCGCUCUCAAAAGUUGGGAAUUAAAUUAAAUUAAAUUAAAUUAAAGGUGGGAGGGUGGAAGCCAUAAUUAUUGUUUAUUAUUUAAUCCGAGUUAUUGCUUUUGCUCUGAGAAAAAGUUGGGCAACAUCAUGCACUGCAAAAGUGAAAGGGGCUUUUUUUUUUUUUUUUCUNUUUUUUUUGACCUUUUCAUCAUCAAUACUUAAAAGGCAAAAAAAAAAAAGAAAAGAAAAGAAAAAAGGAAUAGGUAAAAAUGUAUGGAUGGUAAAAAGUUGCCCAGUUUUAUAGGCUUUUAUUUAGCUUAUUUUUAUUAUCUUUUGGUUGAUUCUAGGCUUUUAUUUAGCUUAUUUUUAUUAUCUUUUGGUUGAUUCCAGCUUUUGAUUUUCUUUUUCGGAUUAAUUACACCAAUAGUCCCCAACCUUUCCACCAAUUUUUACUUGAAUCCUCAACUUUUUUUUUUUCAAUUGAGUCCCUAAUUUCUUAAUUUUAUUACAAUUAGGUCCCAACCGUUAAAAAAAUCGUUAAAAUUAACAGAUUCGCCACGUCAGCGCCUAUGUGGCAAUCUUUUGCAUGUCGAUUAGGUCCCUAAACUUUGCACAUUUUUCAUUUUAGUCCCUAAAAAAAAUUCAAAAAUUUUAAAUUUAAAUUCAAAAAUAAUAUUAAAAUUAAAAUUUUAAACUAACGAGAAAUUAGAAUUUUAAAUUUGAAUUUAAAACUGAAUUAAAAUUUUGAAUUGAAAUUCAAAUUUUAAAUUUAAAUUUUGAAUUCAAACUUAAAAUUUAUAUUUUGAUUUUGAUAUUUCAAUUUACAUCUAAAAUGAAAGUUUUGAAACAGAAAUUUAAAUUUAAAAUCAUAUUCAAAAUUUUGAUUUUAAAUUUUAAAUUUGAAUUUAAAAUUUAAAUUUGAAUUUAAGAUUUGAUUUCAAUUCUAAAUUUGAAUUUAAACUUCGAAUUCAAAUUCACAUUUUGAAUUUGAAAUUUCAAAUCGAAGUUUGAAAUUAAAUUAGAAUUUAGAAUUCCAAAUGUGAAUUUGAAUUUAAAAUUUAAAAUUUAAAAUUAAAUACAAAAUUGAAAUUUGAAUUCCAAUUUAAAUUUGAAUUCAAAAUCAAAAUUUAAAUUUAAAAUUUAAAUCUUAAAUUAAUUUUUUUUUAAUUUAUAAAUUUAAUGGAUUAAUUAUAUCAUUGGUCCUCAACCUUUGCACCAUUUUUCAAUUUGGUCUCCAACCUUUUUUUUUUUUGCAAUCCGCUGACACAGCGCCACCGUGGCGCUGACGUGGAGCUGACGUGGCAUUUUUCGUUAAUUUUAUCGGCUAUCUAACGGUUGGGACUUAAUUGAAAUAAAAUUAAAAGAUUAGGGACUUGAUUGCAAAAAAAAAAGGUUGGGGACCAAAUUGAAAAAUCAUGUAAUGGUUAGGGACCAUUAGUGUAAUUAACCCUUCUUUUUCUCUUCUUUCGUUUUUUGUCUUGUUUUUUUGACUUCUGGGGAGAAGCAUGGCUCUGGAAUAAAACCUGACAUCAUGUUAAAAUUUUAGCUUAAUGUUAUACAUAUUCUUAUAAGUAUAGUAAAGGGAAAACUUUAAAAACCCUCCUGUGGUUUCAUACUUUUUUAUUUGAAUACCAUGUGAUUUAAAGUGUAUCAAAUUAGUAUCAUAUGGUUUCACACUUUCUCACUUUAGUAUCCUGUGAUUUAAAGUGUAUCAUAUUAGUACUCUGUGGUUUUAUUUUUGUAUCAUGUUAGUACCCUAUGGUUUUUAAACCACAGGGUACUAAAGUGAGAAAGUGCGAAACCACAUGGUACUAACUUGAUACACUUUAAACCACAGGGUACUAAAGUAAAAAAGUGCAAAACCACUGAAUACUAACUUGAUACAUUUUAAACCACAGGGUACUAAAGUGAGAAAAAGUGAAACUCCAAAGGGGGUAUUUGAAGUUUUUCCUAUAAUAAAUUACAAAACUAUUUUUACAAAGUUUAAUUUUUAUAUAUUAUUCCUGUAAAAGUUCUAAUGUUUUCAAAUAUAUCUCUGCCGUUAGAAUCCGUUAGAAAAUUUUAGUCAACCGUAGGUUAAAUACUUAAUUCUAAUUAGUUUAUAAGAUAACUUAACAUUUUACCCCUCUUAUAUUAUACUGUUGCGGUUUUUGGAUGGAUAUAUUUGUAAUAACAAAUUUGACAUUUAACUUAAAAUAUAAACAAAUCUAUAAAGGUAAUAACUAGAAAGAUAUAUUUGAAUACAUUAGAAUUUUUAUAAAAAUAAUAUAUGAAAGUUGAACUUUAUAGAAAUAUAUUUACAAUUCACUAUAUUUAUAGGAACCAGUAUUUAUUUAACCCUAAAAUCUUUUGAUCAACUAAAAUUGUUAUUUCUAUGUAAAAGAAAUAAUAGAAUUGUUAUUUGAG
This 34149-nucleotide long non-coding RNA is filed under the name Ananas comosus (pineapple). RNAcentral's name for it is "long non-coding RNA (ACOM_LNC020849)". The record is from RNAcentral. Lineage: Eukaryota; Viridiplantae; Streptophyta; Magnoliopsida; Poales; Bromeliaceae.